GACGAACGCUGGCGGCGUGCUUAACACAUGCAAGUCGAACGGAAAGGCCCCAGCUUGCUGGGGUACUCGAGUGGCGAACGGGUGAGUAACACGUGGGUGAUCUGCCCUGCACUCUGGGAUAAGCCUGGGAAACUGGGUCUAAUACCGGAUAGGACCGUGCUUUAGUGUGUGCGGUGGAAAGUUUUUCGGUGCAGGAUGAGCCCGCGGCCUAUCAGCUUGUUGGUGGGGUAAUGGCCUACCAAGGCGGCGACGGGUAGCCGGCCUGAGAGGGUGUACGGCCACAUUGGGACUGAGACACGGCCCAGACUCCUACGGGAGGCAGCAGUGGGGAGUAUUGCACAAUGGGCGCAAGCCUGAUGCAGCGACGCCGCGUGGGGGAUGACGGCCUUCGGGUUGUAUACCCCUUUCGGCAGGGACGAAGCUUUUGUGACGGUACCUGCAUAAGAAGCACCGGCUAACUACGUG
This 465-nucleotide ribosomal RNA is filed under the name uncultured bacterium. RNAcentral's name for it is "partial 16S ribosomal RNA". It matches the Rfam family "Bacterial small subunit ribosomal RNA", at positions 28 to 507 of the family's 1533-position model. The record is from RNAcentral.